GGCUCAGGAUGAACGCUAGCGGCAGGCUUAACACAUGCAAGUCGAGGGGCAUCGGGAGUAGCAAUACUUGCCGGCGACCGGCGCAAGGGUGCGUAACGCGUGAGCAACAUGCCCGUAUCAGGGGGAUAAUCCAUGGAAACGUGGUCUAAUACCCCAUAGUAAUUAUGUAAGGCAUCUUAUAUAAUUUAAAGCUUUGGUGGAUACGGAUUGGCUCGCGUGACAUUAGCUAGACGGUAAGGUAACGGCUUACCAUGGCUACGAUGUCUAGGGGUUCUGAGAGGAAGGUCCCCCACACUGGAGCUGAGACACGGUCCAGACUCCUACGGGAGGCAGCAGUGAGGAAUAUUGGACAAUGGAUGGAAAUCUGAUCCAGCCAUGCCGCGUGACAGGAAGACGGCCCUAUGGGUUAGUAAACUGUCUUUUGUAUGGGAGCAAGUAAGGGCUACGUGUAGUCCGAUGAGAGUACCAUACGAAUAAGCACCGGCUAACUCCGUGCCAGCAGCGGC
RNAcentral lists this ribosomal RNA (506 nucleotides) under uncultured bacterium. RNAcentral's name for it is "bacterial SSU rRNA". It matches the Rfam family "Bacterial small subunit ribosomal RNA", at positions 21 to 518 of the family's 1533-position model. The record is from RNAcentral.